GGAAUUUUGCGCAAUGGGGGAAACCCUGACGCAGCAACGCCGCGUGAGUGAUGAAGGCUUUCGGGUCGUAAAGCUCUGUCAAGUGGGAAGAACCCCCGUGGUGCUAAUACCACCAUGGGCUGACGGUACCACUGAAGGAAGCACCGGCUAACUCCGUGCCAGCAGCCGCGGUAAUACGGGGGGUGCAAGCGUUAUUCGGAAUCACUGGGCGUAAAGCGCGCGCAGGCGGCCGUUUAAGUCAGAUGUGAAAGCCCGGGGCUCAACUCCGGAAGUGCAUUUGAUACUAUUCGGCUUGAGUAUGGGAGAGGGAAGUGGAAUUCCUGGUGUAGAGGUGAAAUUCGUAGAUAUCAGGAGGAACACCGGUGGCGAAGGCGACUUCCUGGACCAAUACUGACGCUGAGGCGCGAAGGCGUGGGGAGCAAAC
RNAcentral lists this ribosomal RNA (424 nucleotides) under uncultured bacterium. RNAcentral's name for it is "bacterial SSU rRNA". It matches the Rfam family "Bacterial small subunit ribosomal RNA", at positions 358 to 773 of the family's 1533-position model. The record is from RNAcentral.